AUGUAUCAGAUCAUGGAAGGGAGGGUAAGAAAUCAGGAUUUUUGGCUUUCCUCUUACUAUUGUGGUGUGGUGAUUACACCAAGAUUUCACCACCCAAAUGUGUACACUUUCUCAUCAAAACACAUCAAGAUCAGGUCGUUACACAUUAAUAGAAAUGGAAAUUGUGAGGACAUUGAUGGUUUGCAAGCUUGGUUGAACUCCUCCAGCCUCGCAACAGUAUUAAGCUAA
Vicia faba (fava bean) is the source of this 228-nucleotide non-coding RNA. Lineage: Eukaryota; Viridiplantae; Streptophyta; Magnoliopsida; Fabales; Fabaceae. The record is from the annotation of a GenBank genome assembly.